Molecule: ribosomal RNA, 847 nt
Filed under: uncultured archaeon
Lineage: Archaea
Description: bacterial SSU rRNA
Rfam family: Archaeal small subunit ribosomal RNA
Source: RNAcentral
GCUAUCGGAUUGAUACUAAGCCAUGCGAGUCAUUGUAGCAAUACAAGGCAUACGGCUCAGUAACGCGUAGUCAACCUAACCUAUGGACGGGAAUAACCUCGGGAAACUGAGAAUAAUGCCCGAUAGAACAUUAUGCCUGGAAUGGUUUAUGUUCCAAAUGAUUUAUCGCCGUAGGAUGGGACUGCGGCCUAUCAGUUUGUUGGUGAGGUAAUGGCCCACCAAGACUAUUACAGGUACGGGCUCUGAGAGGAGUAGCCCGGASAUGGGUACUGCGACACGGACCCAGGCCCUAUGGGGCGCAGCAGGCGAGAAAACUUUGCAAUGUGCGAAAGCWCGACAAGGUUAAUCCGAGUGGUUUCUGCUAAAGGAACCUUUUGUCAGUCCUAGAAACACUGAUGAAUAAGGGGUGGGCAAGUUCUGGUGUCAGCCGCCGCGGUAAAACCAGCACCUCAAGUGGUCAGGAUGAUUAUUGGGCCUAAAGCAUCCUUAGCCGGCUCUGUAAGUUUUCGGUUAAAUCUGUACGCUCAACGUACAGGCUGCCGGGAAUACUGCAAAGCUAGGGAGUGGGAGAGGUAGACGGUACUCGGUAGGAAGGGGUAAAAUCCUUUGAUCUAUUGAUGACCACCUGUGGCGAAGGCGGUCUACCAGAACACGUCCGACGGUGAGGGAUGAAAGCUGGGGGAGCAAACCGGAUUAGAUACCCGGGUAGUCCCAGCUGUAAACCAUGCAAACUCAGUGAUGCAUUGGCUUGUGGCCAAUGCAGUGCUGCAGGGAAGCCGUUAAGUUUGCCGCCUGGGAAGUACGUACGCAAGUAUGAAACUUAAAGGAAUUGGCGGGGGAGCACCAC